AUUGCAGGCUGCAACUCGCCUGCAUGAAGCUGGAAUUGCUAGUAAUCGCGGAUCAGCAUGCCGCGGUGAAUACGUUCCCGGGCCUUGUACACACCGCCCGUCACACCAUGAGAGUCGGGAACACCCGAAGUCCGUAGUCUAACCCGCAAGGGAGGGCGCGGCCGAAGGUGGGUCCGGUAAUUGGGGUGAAGUCGUAACAAGGUACC
Molecule: ribosomal RNA, 206 nt
Filed under: uncultured bacterium
Lineage: Bacteria
Description: partial 16S ribosomal RNA
Rfam family: Bacterial small subunit ribosomal RNA
Source: RNAcentral